RNAcentral lists this ribosomal RNA (253 nucleotides) under uncultured bacterium. Its description in RNAcentral is "partial 16S ribosomal RNA". It matches the Rfam family "Bacterial small subunit ribosomal RNA", at positions 524 to 776 of the family's 1533-position model. The record is from RNAcentral.
UACAGAGGGUGCGAGCGUUAAUCGGAAUUACUGGGCGUAAAGCGUGCGUAGACGGCUAUCUAAGUCGGGUGUGAAAGCCCCGGGCUCAACCUGGGAAUUGCAGUGGAUACUGGGGAGCUAGAGUGCGGUAGAGGGUAGUGGAAUUCCCGGUGUAGCGGUGAAAUGCGUAGAGAUCGGGAAGAACACCAGUGGCGAAGGCGGCUACCUGGACCAGCACUGACACUGAGUCACGAAAGCGUGGGGAGCAAACAGG